Long non-coding RNA from Rosa rugosa (rugosa rose), 744 nucleotides. RefSeq lists it as uncharacterized. The record is from RefSeq and is a predicted model, not a curated record. The transcript has 2 exons. Lineage: Eukaryota; Viridiplantae; Streptophyta; Magnoliopsida; Rosales; Rosaceae.
UUCUUUGCUUCGCACGAUGAGAGAGAAAGGGAACGAUCGAGUUUUCAAAUAGGGAACUGAGCUUCCAAAAUCGACGACUCUCGAGCCAAAAUCAAUAGUUCGGGUCCGGCGCCGACAAUACUUCCAAUACUGAGUUUGGUGGUGGUCCUUUGAAAUUCAAUACUGAAUUGAUGUGUGUAUACGUUGAGGAAUUUCAGAGGGGGCUUAAGAGAAUCAAAGACGUUAGCCACUUCUAUCGUCAGAGGUCAAGUACCAAGAGACUUCUUUUCAUUAGCUCUGAAGGAUUUUGGACAAGUAGCAAAGAGAUUUAAGUUUUCCUUUCUCAUUGUUAUUCUGUGUAUUUGUUUUUAGUUUGCUCAGAUGUGGUGGGAAUUUCAUCUGAUUAUGGACAUACUUCUACAACUCCUUAUCUAUAUUGGAAGUAACGGUAUUGUUGCAGGAAGAGAGAAUGAGUAUAUGCGUGCAGCUUUCUCUCUGCUUUCUUUGUAACGAAUCGAAGAUCAUGUGGAUUUAAUGAUGAUUAUAUAGAAUUUCACUCUCUAUGCUUUCUGUUUUGUCAUGAAGAGAGAAUGGGUACUUACCUUCUUCAAAAUCGAGUACUUGAUCAUAAAGAGUGAGGCUUUGGUUAUGAUGUUUUUGAUGUUGGGUUGUCAUUGCGGUAAUUGCUACUGUUUUACAUAAUGUGAUCUUAAUGAGAAUGUACACUUUAACAUGCAUUGAAAUAGUGGUGAGUGUGUGUAUGUG